UUCUACGGCCAUACUACGCUGAUCGCGCCCAAUCUCAUCUGAUCUCGGAAGCUAAGCAGGGUUGGACCUCAUUAGUACUUGGAUGGGAGAAAUCCCAAGACUGACAAGUGAAGUAUUAA
Molecule: ribosomal RNA, 119 nt
Filed under: Propithecus coquereli (Coquerel's sifaka)
Lineage: Eukaryota; Metazoa; Chordata; Mammalia; Primates; Indriidae
Source: RNAcentral